RNAcentral lists this ribosomal RNA (253 nucleotides) under uncultured bacterium. Its description in RNAcentral is "partial 16S ribosomal RNA". It matches the Rfam family "Bacterial small subunit ribosomal RNA", at positions 524 to 776 of the family's 1533-position model. The record is from RNAcentral.
UACGAAGGGUGCAAGCGUUACUCGGAAUUACUGGGCGUAAAGCGUGCGUAGGUGGUUCGUUAAGUCUGAUGUGAAAGCCCUGGGCUCAACCUGGGAAUGGCAUUGGAAACUGGCGAUCUAGAGUGCGGUAGAGGGUAGUGGAAUUCCCGGUGUAGCAGUGAAAUGCGUAGAGAUCGGGAGGAACAUCUGUGGCGAAGGCGACUGCCUGGACCAGCACUGACACUGAGGCACGAAAGCGUGGGGAGCAAACAGG